This 1485-nucleotide ribosomal RNA is filed under the name Triticum aestivum (bread wheat). RNAcentral describes it as "partial small subunit ribosomal RNA". The record is from RNAcentral. Lineage: Eukaryota; Viridiplantae; Streptophyta; Magnoliopsida; Poales; Poaceae.
AUGCCUGCUCACCACACCUCACUGUUGGUCACCUUAGGUUUCCUUGCAGAAAUCCUGCUGCUAGUGCAUUGUUCGCACGCCCGUUCAGCAGACAGCAGUGCCUCCCAGCAGGUCCCUGCACGCUGCCGCAGGGACCAGGCCGCCGCGCUUCUCACCGUGAAGCGUUCCUUCAACUUCACCAACGACGACGAGCCGCCCACCACGACACUGUCAUCGUGGACAGUGGGCACAGACUGCUGCCGCUGGGAAGGCGUUCGCUGCGACAACGUUACCGGGAGGGUCACUGCACUCGACCUCCCGGAGCGGAACCUGCAGAUCGGCGAGCUUCACCCUUCCAUCUCCAGGCUUACCUCUCUCCAAUAUCUCAACCUUGCCUACAACACGUUUACCAGCUCCCAGCUUCAGGUGUCUGGUUUCCAGGGCUUGACACAACUGACCUACCUCAACCUGUCAACCUGCAACUUCUAUUUUCAGGUCCCACUCGAUAUCUUUCGGCUCACCAACCUGGUCAUCCUCGACCUUGGACGCAACAGAUGGGAGCUCCUUCCGUCGACUGUAGUGGCCAACGACCUUAGUAAGCUGAAGGAGCUCCAUCUAGAGCAAGUUAAUAUCACCGGCACAGCGCCGGAGUUCUUCAAGGCACUUGCCAACCACUUCCCCCUUCUUCAGAUCCUUCGCCUAACCGGAUGUUCCCUUUCUGGUCCACUCCACCCAUCGUUAUCAAGACUCCACUCCUUAUCGGUGGUUGAUCUUGGUUAUAACUCUUUAACUGGUCCUCUGCCUGAUUUGUUCACUCAUUCCAAUUCCCCUUUGCUGCGAGAACUUGUGCUCGCUGAGAACAGAUUCGAGCCUUCUGCAUUCCCUCUUGGGGUCACUGGGCUAAAGAAUCUCAUGAUUCUCGACCUUGGAAGCACAAACCUCGUUGGGGCCAUCCCUACCUCCAUCGGGAGCCUCAUGUCACUGACUGAAUUACACAUCAGUUGGAACAGCUUCUCCGGCAGGCUACCUUCGGCCCUCAGCAAUCUGACAAACUUGAUCAUACUGGACUGUCAGGGCUCUGGUUUGUCUGGGCAGAUUCCAUGGCUUACAAGCUUAACACGACUUGAAAGUGUAUGGCUCGCCGGCAACAACUUCACAGGGCCGGUUCCUCUCGACGGACAUAUGUACCCAUAUCUCAUAGAGGUGCGUUUAAGCAAUAAUUCACUCUCGGGGACAGUUCCAGCAUCCUUGUUCACUCUGCCAGCAUUGCAGACAUUGUGCCUCCAAAUGAACCGACUCUCUGGUGCUAUUGAGGAAUUCCAGAAUCCAUCAGCUAAGCUAACUGACAUUGACUUGAGCAGCAAUCAGCUAACAGGUUCAGUUCCAGCUUCCUUUUCCUAUCUCACUGCUCUUCAGUCCCUGCAACUUGACAACAACAAUUUCACGGGUACCUUGGAUCUAAACCCGUUCUUGAGGCUAAGGAACCUUAGUACUCCCUCCGUCUAG